GCGCUCACUUUGGCAGCACAUACACUAAAAUUAGAACAAUACUGAGAAGAUUAGCAUGGCCCUUGCACAAGGAUGACACACAAAUUCAUGAGGCAUUUCACACUUUU
Molecule: small nuclear RNA, 107 nt
Organism: Cavia porcellus (domestic guinea pig)
Lineage: Eukaryota; Metazoa; Chordata; Mammalia; Rodentia; Caviidae
Source: Ensembl